This 425-nucleotide ribosomal RNA is filed under the name uncultured bacterium. RNAcentral's name for it is "partial 16S ribosomal RNA". It matches the Rfam family "Bacterial small subunit ribosomal RNA", at positions 354 to 796 of the family's 1533-position model. The record is from RNAcentral.
GUGGGGAAUAUUGGACAAUGGGCGCAAGCCUGAUCCAGCCAUGCCGCGUGAGUGAUGAAGGCCUUCGGGUUGUAAAGCUCUUUAGUCCACGAAUAUAAUGACUGUAGUGGAAGAAUAAGCCCCGGCUAACUUCGUGCCAGCAGCCGCGGUAAUACGAAGGGGGCGAGCGUUAUUCGGAAUCACUGGGCGUAAAGCGUGCGUAGGCUGUUUUGUAAGUCAGAAGUGAAAGCCCAGGGCUUAACCCUGGAAUUGCUUUUGAAACUACAAGACUCGAAUUCGGGAGAGGAUAGCGGAAUUGUCAGUGUAGCAGUGAAAUGCGUAGAUAUUGACAGGAACACCAGUGGCGCAAGCGGCUAUCUGGACCGAUAUUGACGCUGAGGCACGAAAGCGUGGGGAGCAAACAGGAUUAGAUACCCCGGUAGUCC